GCGGGAGGAGGGCUGGGGAGAGCCCUCUCGGGCCAGACAGCACCUGCUGGACAAAGGUUCUAGAGAUGGCGGGGUGUGGUUGUGGGGUGGCAGCUGGGGCGGGUGGCUGAGAAGGGUGGCUCUUUGGAGUUGUAGGUCAGUCCUUGCACUGGCUUUCAGUAAAAUUUUGAGUCUUAUGUAGCUGCCCCUAGUACCUCUGAGUCUUCUUCACUUAAAACGUAAAAUUUUUUCCAUCUUUCUCAGGGACUUGAUGCAGGCCCACCACCAAAAGUAGCCUGGCUUGCAGUGUCCCAUAAAAAUGGGGAUUUGUCCAGGAAAAGUGGUGGUGGAUGGCACCUGCCCUGAGAGAGGGGAAAUGGUGUCUGGUGAGGAACUGCCAGCAGGAAAAUGGUGAACAGCUGAGGAAAAUGGUGGCACAGAGGAAAAGAUGGUCAUCUGUUCUGCGACUUUUGGACUCUGGAACUAAUUUUGAGAAGCAUUGCCUGGACUGGUCUGAACUUCAAGUAACAAUCCAACAAAUUUUUACCCAUCAGUUUACUAGAGAUGUGGCAGCUUCAUCUUAGAAAAUGAAAAAAAAAACCAAAAACAACUAAAACCCACUUUUGCCUGUGAUUAAAGGUAAGCCUGAUUUUUGUUUACUUCUAGUUUAGUGAUAUUUCAUGGUGAAUAUUGAGUGGACACAACAAAUGAUCAGUGCACAAAUUAUUGGCUGGUGGCAUAUAGCACUUUGAAAAUGAUUUAUUAGCACUUUGACACAUUAAAAUCUUACAUGAAAACAUUAAUGGAUAUUUAAGAUGGUGACUUCUUUCAAAAAAGUAUGUUCAAAGGGCAUUUGUGAUCUCCUAAUAUAAUUAUUUUGGGUUAGAGAUAUUAUUUUCAUUGCAAAAGGUGUUGCCAUGGAAUGAGUUGUCAUAAUAAUAUGUUAUAGAUAUGCAUAUACAAGCAUGGUGCAUGUAUAUGUGCCUUAUAUUGUGUAGCCUUUCCUAUAGUGGGUACAUAUAUAACUGCUUUCUGCUAGUAUGUUUAUGAAGAAAAAAAGGUGUUCCCUUUUGUCUGAUAUGCUUGCUGUUCAAGUUUUAGCUUUAGGCUAAGUUUAAACUCUAAAAUAAAGAGACAAAAACCUGUAAGGAGAAAGGGGCCUGACUGUUUACCUGCUGGCCUUUUUGUUGUAUUACAACUAUACUCAUUGUAUGUGUGGAAGAAGCUUGUACAGCCCUGCAAUUCCUUAUCUAUUUUUGCUAUUAUUUACCUAAAUCUCAAUGCAGAGUUAGCCUUCCUUCCCUUUUCUCAGUUGGUUUGAUGUAUCAAUGCCUCUAAAGGAAUUUCUGUAUGUUCUGCAUUGUAACUGAAUAUAGUGACAAAUGGCAGCUGCAGCAAUUUGGCUUAGCUAGAGUUGCAUCAUUCCUUAUUCUGAAAGCCAAAAGCGCAACACAACAACCCACAUGCUAACCCUCUAUUCCAUGUUUUUUUCCUAAUACAGCGAGGAUUUCAUGUGGGAUGUUCUGCAAUGACAACUUCUAAGUAAUAAACACUUUGUAUUACAAGUAGAGAAUCAAUAGUGUGAAAAUAUAUGAACUAAUAAGGAAAAAAGAACAGUAACCUAUAUUAGUAACACAACUGGGGAGUGUUAGUUUAGCUGCAGUAAUGGAUACUGCACUAUAGUUAUUAUUUAAAGAUAGGGAUGAAUUUAUUUCCUGACUGAGAGAUUAGCUGAACUGUAUAGAGAUUUAGAUGGUUGUUUUUUCAGCCAUCUUCCACGGCAUCUUGGUGCUGUGAAGAUGUCUGCAGGUUAAAAUUCAAGUUACUUUUGCUUUGUGGUUGGUAGAUGACCAGUAAGAGCAUUUGUCCGUAGGGGUCUUGUUUCUGUUGAAACAGAGCUUUAAGUGGAUAGGGAAAAGCUGCUGAAUGACUUGGGAAUGGUGCUCCUAAUGGCUGGUUCAGCAAGGACGAGAAAAAUAGUUGGCUUUUGUAUAGUGACAUGACAGUAGAGUUCUUGUAGUCAAUUAUUCUCCAGCUGUCAAAGACUGGGUGGCAGAUAGUAAAACGCUACAGCAAGAAAUGCUUCAGGAAAGGAUCACAGAUUGUACUGCACAUUUUACUGGAUAAUCUAAUUAAAACACACCUCUUGCAUCUUGCUUAUCUUGCAUGUGUUCAUAAUAUAUAAAAGGUAGACUGAUGGUAUGCAAAAGAAUAUAGGGUAGAAUAUUUCCUUGACCUCGGACACGAACGCAAGUUAUUACAGGAAAACUCAGUGUCCACAAGGUAAUGAAGAAUAUUUUCACUUUUGCAUUGUCAUCAUAGAACUUGUGUGUGAAAAUUUUGAUGAACCAGUUGUGCUUUUUAUCUCUAGUAUUUGAAGUUCACCUACAACUUAGGAUUCUUUUCAGAAUAAUAUGAAAAAAUAUAUUUCAGAAAAAUAAUUAAUGUUUACAUUAAACAACUUUAGGUCAAUGCAACUUUUAAAUAGUCACUUCACAACAAAAGAACUUACCAACAGUGUAUAGAAACAGGUUAUGCUGCCAGCAAAAAUCCUGAAAGACGAGCUUCGAAUUCUGUUAUGCAUUUCUUAUUGUGAUACGUACAGGUGGUUUAUGUUUUUUUUUUUUUUUUUUUCUUUUCAGAAUUAGAGGCAUGGAGGUUAAAUUAUGGUAAAAAUAAGCUUCUUAAGUUAAAAAUUAGUAAUGAAUAAAAAGGGAAGAUGAUUUGCAGAGUAAUGAAACUUUUAUCUACAGUCAUACAUAGUAUUAUUCAAUAUACUGUUUUCUUUAAAGUGUUUCAUUUCCCACUGCUUCCAGUUUAAUUACCUCCAACUGCCUUUAUUGAUUAUGGAUUGGUUAUAUGCACAAAUAUGAGGGCAUAUAUAAAUCUAAUUAUACUUCAGAGAAAGUUUCUGAUUUGCCCAAAGGCUUAUUUUAACUACAUGCUAAUGAUAUAGCUACAGUUGUGAGACUGGAGGUUAUAAUGGAUGAGGUUUUUUUGUUCUUUUAAAUGAAACAUUAAACGAUGAUGAAAAGCUUUGAGUCACUUUUCCUUAACUUUCAUUCCCGGUGGCUACACUUUUGAUAAUAUUGGCGUGCAAAUAUAGGCAUGCUAAUGUGUGCACAGAAAUGAACGCAGACCUCAGGCUGAAAUCAUGAUGAAAAAUCAGAAAAUUCAAGUUUGUAUUCAGAGAUAAUAAAGGACCUCUGCUUAUGGCUACAACCUGGAUAAUUUUCUCUCCUGAAGUUACAAUGAAAGUGUGCAUAAGAAAAAGCAAAAUGUACUAGUAAUUGAUAAUUUUCAGCCUAAACCCAUAUUGUUAAUCAUUUCUGAGAGGGGGAAGAAAAGAAUCUAUUUUUUAUAUAUUAGAGUUUUACAGCAAUUUUCUCACUUCUAAUAUAUGAAUUAUUAACAAAGAUACUCAGUCUAAUAUGGAAGUUGCCCAGGAACUCAUGCCUUUUAUUUAAUCUUGGGGGCAAGCUCCAAAAGAUGUGUUCCAUGCUUUUUAUAAUGUUGAGUAAUGUACUGUAACUUCAGAGGUAAAAGCAAUUGAUUUCCUGCUUAACUGUCCAAUUAAAACUUUCCUGAUUCUCAUGAGUGGGAGCAGGGUAAUUAUUUCUAGAUCAAAAAAUUGUAUUUUUUCCUCAAAGAUACCUAAUGGCAGAUAGGCCAUUUUUUAAAAAAGCACAUUGCAUUCAAAAGAAAUCUACUAUAGUUUCCUAUUAUGCAAAAAAUGUCAGUUUUUAGAAUAAAGAAACUGUUCAGCUUGGAAUGUAAUGCACAUGAGCUAUAUGAAAACAGUUUCUGCAUGUGCUAUAGAAGUAUGAAAACACUGACCUAUAUCAAUAAGAAAAAUGGUAAGAAAUAACUUC
This is a long non-coding RNA of Cygnus olor (mute swan), 3851 nucleotides long. RefSeq lists it as uncharacterized. The record is from RefSeq and is a predicted model, not a curated record. The transcript has 3 exons. Lineage: Eukaryota; Metazoa; Chordata; Aves; Anseriformes; Anatidae.